GACGAACGCUGGCGGCGUGCUUAACACAUGCAAGUCGAACGAUGAAGCCUUAGCUUGCUUUGGUGGAUCAGUGGCGAACGGGUGAGUAACACGUGAGCAACGUGCCCAGGACUCUGGAAUAACCGCGGGAAACCGUGGCUAAUACCGGAUAGGUGCCGAGGCCGCAUGGUCUUCGGUUGGAAAGUUUUUGCGGUUCUGGAUCGGCUCACGGCCUAUCAGCUUGUUGGUGGGGUAAUGGCCUACCAAGGCGACGACGGGUAGCCGGCCUGAGAGGGUGACCGGCCACACUGGGACUGAGACACGGCCCAGACUCCUACGGGAGGCAGCAGUGGGGAAUAUUGCACAAUGGGCGCAAGCCUGAUGCAGCAACGCCGCGUGGGGGAUGACGGCCUUCGGGUUGUAAACCUCUUUUAGUAGGGAAGAAGCGCAAGUGACGGUACCUGCAGAAAAAGCACCGGCUAACUACGUG
RNAcentral lists this ribosomal RNA (469 nucleotides) under uncultured bacterium. Its description in RNAcentral is "partial 16S ribosomal RNA". It matches the Rfam family "Bacterial small subunit ribosomal RNA", at positions 28 to 507 of the family's 1533-position model. The record is from RNAcentral.